UUCAUUUAGAAUAUAAAUCAGGUCAGAAAAGGACUCACCUUGGAAUGGGUAGGAAUGUCAAAGUUGACAACUACAUCCACAUGAGGAAUGUCCAAACCUCGGCUUGCAA
Myotis davidii is the source of this 109-nucleotide long non-coding RNA. RefSeq lists it as uncharacterized. Lineage: Eukaryota; Metazoa; Chordata; Mammalia; Chiroptera; Vespertilionidae. The record is from RefSeq and is a predicted model, not a curated record. The transcript is spliced from 3 exons.